RNAcentral lists this ribosomal RNA (468 nucleotides) under uncultured bacterium. RNAcentral's name for it is "partial 16S ribosomal RNA". It matches the Rfam family "Bacterial small subunit ribosomal RNA", at positions 28 to 507 of the family's 1533-position model. The record is from RNAcentral.
GACGAACGCUGGCGGCGUGCUUAACACAUGCAAGUCGAACGGACAGGCCCUGCUUUUGUGGGGUGCUCGAGUGGCGAACGGGUGAGUAACACGUGAGUAACCUGUCCUUGACUUUGGGAUAACUUCAGGGAAAUGGGGCUAAUACCGGAGAGGAUCUCCUGCUGCAUGGUGGGCGUUGGAAAGUUUCGGCGUUUGGGGAUGUACUCGCUGCUUAUGCGCUUGUUGGUGGGGUAGUGGCCUACCAAGGCUUUGACGGGUAGACGGCCUGAGAGGCUGACCGGACACACUACGCCUGAGAGACGGCGCAGACGGGAACGGGAGGCAGAGGUGGAGAGUCUGGCACAGCGGCCGGGAGCCAGAGGUGGCGACGCCGCGUGCGGGAAACCAGCUUACGGGUGGUAAACCGAUGUCGCCUGAGACGAGGCGUGAGUGACGGUACCGGGUAAAGAAGCACCGGCUAACUACGUG